UGGGGGAUAUUGCACAAUGGGCGCAAGCCUGAUGCAGCGACGCCGCGUGGGGGAUGAUGGCCUUCGGGUUGUAAACUUCUUUUGCUCUGAACAAGGCGCACUUUGGGGUGUGUUGAGUGUAGGGGUUGAUUAGCGCCGGCUAACUACGUGCCAGCAGCCGCGGUAAUACGUAGGGCGCGAGCGUUGUCCGGAAUUAUUGGGCGUAAAGGGCUUGUAGGUGGCUGGUUGCGUCUGUCGUGAAAGCUCAUGGCUUAACUGUGGGUUUGCGGUGGGUACGGGCUGGCUUGAGUGCAGUAGGGGAGGCUGGAAUUCCUGGUGUAGCGGUGGAAUGCGCAGAUAUCAGGAGGAAUACCGGUGGAGAAGGCGGGUCUCUGGGCUGUUACUGACACUGAGGAGCGAAAGCAUGGGGAGCGAACAGG
Molecule: ribosomal RNA, 419 nt
Filed under: bacterium
Lineage: Bacteria
Description: partial 16S ribosomal RNA
Rfam family: Bacterial small subunit ribosomal RNA
Source: RNAcentral